Mercurialis annua (annual mercury) is the source of this 508-nucleotide long non-coding RNA. RefSeq lists it as uncharacterized. The record is from RefSeq and is a predicted model, not a curated record. The transcript is spliced from 2 exons. Lineage: Eukaryota; Viridiplantae; Streptophyta; Magnoliopsida; Malpighiales; Euphorbiaceae.
AUGCACCACUGCAAAUUAAAUACAAGAAUUUAGCAUUUGAGUUCAAGUAGCUCAAUGAUCUGAUGACAAUAGAAGUGCAUAUCUGCAGGUAAAGUACUCAUCAAAAUGGAGCAAACAUAUGAAAGAUAGCCACACCGCCCACUUAUCCACUAAACGGAGACCUGGAGCUGUUUUUCGAGUCUCUAGGAUACAUGCUGGAUGUGCAGCAUCUGCCAUUGCCUGCAGGAAGCAUGAACGUCAAAUAAGCAUCAUGACUUGAAUAAACAUAUUGGUCCAUUUGCUAGCUCUUCAGUGUAUUCAAUUGAUCAACUGCACAUGGAAAACCUUGCAAUUCAUAAUGAAUUUCAUUUCAAAAAGAGUUGUAAAAGUAAUUUUGCUAGUGUUGUUUCAACAGCAAAAUACAAUGUAUGAACCAGGAGCAAAACACUAAUGUAGGUAAACAUUGAACAGUAUUUUUUUCUUCAAUUUUCACAAAACUAUGAAGUAUAAUUUCGACCAGUAAUGACAA